GUGCCAGCCGCCGCGGUAAGACGAACCGUCCAAACGUUGUUCGGAAUCACUGGGCUUAAAGGGCGCGUAGGCGGAUGCUCAAGUCGGUGGUGAAAUCUUUCGGCUCAACCGGAAAAGUGCCGCCGAUACUGGGGAUCUCGAGGGAGGUAGGGGUCGAGGGAACUUCCGGUGGAGCGGUGAAAUGCGUAGAUAUCGGAAGGAACGCCGGUGGCGAAAGCGCUCGACUGGACCUCUUCUGACGCUGAGGCGCGAAAGCCAGGGGAGCAAACGGGAUUAGAUACCCUUGUAGUCC
This 292-nucleotide ribosomal RNA is filed under the name uncultured bacterium. RNAcentral's name for it is "partial 16S ribosomal RNA". It matches the Rfam family "Bacterial small subunit ribosomal RNA", at positions 505 to 796 of the family's 1533-position model. The record is from RNAcentral.